This 309-nucleotide ribosomal RNA is filed under the name Triticum aestivum (bread wheat). Its description in RNAcentral is "partial small subunit ribosomal RNA". Lineage: Eukaryota; Viridiplantae; Streptophyta; Magnoliopsida; Poales; Poaceae. The record is from RNAcentral.
AUGGCCUGUCAUGAUCUGAAUCAACAGGAGGAAAUGGCCGUGGAGGAUCUGGACCCGAUAGCAGGAAUGCACAUCACGGAAGCACUCCGUGUCCAGCUCGACGUGCAGCGCCGCCUCCAACAGCAGCUCGAGAUGCAGCGUAGUCUGCAGGUGAGGAUAGAGGAGCAGGGUAAGAGGCUGCAGAAGAUGUUCGAGGACCAACUCAAGGCCAACAGGAACAUGGCAAGAUCGCCGCAGCAGCAUGGCACUGUCGGCAUCCACACGGAGCUGCAGGACAACGCCGUGUUCGUCGUCGACGACGAGGCGUAG